GCAGCAGAUGAAGCUGUCAAAGUCGAUGUUCAUGUUCUUGUCAGCGUAGCGCAUCGUGAUGAUGUCAUAGAGCUGGUUGUUCAGCCGAAACCCUGCAGGGGGGCCAGAAAUGGGUUUGAUUGUUCCUUAUACAACCAUACGGAAUCCUCAGCUUAAAUGAGAGCAAGGUACAUAAUGAGGUCUGGUUUCCCUACACAAGCUUUUGCACUGUGGAGCUAGGAAGAGCAGCGCUACCUGCCAGCUUUUGAUCUUGUCCCAGAGGUGUCGGAACUCAUCAAAGUUGAUCUUCCCUGAGCCAUCUGUCUGCGAUGCAAGCAUUCAGAAAUGCUCUGUUCCAGAAUGAGUGUAUUUAUACUGAAGUGCAAAAAUAACAAAAAAGAGCUACACCUGAAAUUUCCCAUGCAUCACUCCUGCCAGCAGGUUUAACUACUUCAGCAUGUCUCCUGGUCACACACUGGAAAACCUGCACUAGAAGUUCAACUUCAGCCUUUCUCAAUAAAGAGAACUGCAAUAGUCUUCUAGACACAUAAUAGAUGUGUAUAGUUCGUUUUGAGAGAUUAUGACAGAAAGAGCUCGUUCAAGUCAGAGACGGUCUGCAGCAGCUCUCUGGGGCUUCCCUACAAAGAAAGCUUGGCUCACAUGUUACUUAUAAACCUCCACUUGUUCACUACAGCCCUGCUGGCCACUGAUGAGACACAUUUUCUACACUGAGAAAAAUACCAUACUUCCUCUCUAAUUGUGUACCUUUUUCAACAAAGACAGAAGCCUGCUGUCUGCCAGUGUGUACAACAGGGGCUUCUACAUCUACAUAUGUGCAGACAGAUUCUAUAAUGCAAACCACUGUAAACUCAAAAUACUCAAUCCCCUUCAAAAAUAUCUUUUUAAAACAAAACAAAAAAAUGUAGAAGUAUUUUAUUUGCAUAAUAAUGGGUAAAGGUAGAUGUGCUGGAAAAGGAUAUCUCUAAGGAUAAAUUCAAAGGCACAGUAAUAUCAGAGAAACUGAUGACGUUUAUCUCUUGCUGAAAUUACUUCUGCAUUCAGUUCUACUGUGACAUUUCCUUAUAAGUGAGCAGCAGAACAAAAGCUGAUUUUCUAACUUCAUUUCUGUUCCAAACUACUAGCUUCUUUACUACAAGAAAAAUGAUAAAAUAUACUACAGAGAUAAAUAAGCAAGUUAUCAAUGUGAAAAAAGCUUUUAUAAUACCAACAAUACAGCAAUAACAAGUACUUUCAUGAGCAGCAAAAUUGCCUUUAUGUUUUUUGGCCAGCAACUUCAGAGCCUAUUAAGCACAGUUUUAAGUGUGGUUUGGAACACCAGACAAUGUUGUUUAUUAUGAGAAUUUUGGAGUCCACAGUUCUUUAAAAACAUUUUUUUGAGUAUGUGAGUUAGCGUGUCCGAGGUGUCAUUUAGUAAGCAUGAUAUUUAGUUUUCUCUAGUAACCUUAUCAAGGCUUGCAGAAAGCAAAAUAGAAUUUAGACUUCAAACUAUUUAAGUAAUCACAAAUGUAUGAGACAGUGAUUUAAGUUCCCUCAUCUAAGUGGCUUCCUAAGGAUAAUCACUAGCCUCCUGACUUACGUG
Non-coding RNA from Phasianus colchicus (ring-necked pheasant), 1579 nucleotides. Lineage: Eukaryota; Metazoa; Chordata; Aves; Galliformes; Phasianidae. The record is from RefSeq and is a predicted model, not a curated record.